Molecule: ribosomal RNA, 274 nt
Filed under: uncultured bacterium
Lineage: Bacteria
Description: partial 16S ribosomal RNA
Rfam family: Bacterial small subunit ribosomal RNA
Source: RNAcentral
AGCGAACGCUGGCGGCAGGCUUAACACAUGCAAGUCGAGCGCCCGUAGCAAUACGGGAGCGGCAGACGGGUGAGUAACAUGUGGGAACAUGCCCUUUGGUUCGGAAUAACCCAGGGAAACUUGAGCUAAUACCGGAUAAGCCCUUACGGGGAAAGAUUUAUCGCCAAAGGAUUGGCCCCGCGUCUGAUUAGCUAGUUGGUGGGGUAAUGGCCCACCAAGGCUACGAUCAGUAGCUGUUCNGAGAGGAUGAUCAGCCACAUUGGGACUGAGACAC